This 77-nucleotide small RNA is filed under the name Klebsiella pneumoniae. RNAcentral describes it as "partial RtT sRNA". It matches the Rfam family "RtT RNA", at positions 56 to 130 of the family's 130-position model. From Rfam's summary of the family: This family represents a bacterial cis-regulatory element known as RtT RNA. Lineage: Bacteria; Pseudomonadati; Pseudomonadota; Gammaproteobacteria; Enterobacterales; Enterobacteriaceae. The record is from RNAcentral.
AGCGAGAGAACGUUGCCGCAGGCAACGGCCCGAAGGGCGAGGCGCUUUAGCGCCGAGUAAUCCUUCCCCCACCACUG